This 481-nucleotide RNase P RNA is filed under the name Deltaproteobacteria bacterium. RNAcentral's name for it is "RNase P RNA component class A". It matches the Rfam family "Bacterial RNase P class A", at positions 71 to 352 of the family's 367-position model. From Rfam's summary of the family: Ribonuclease P (RNase P) is a ubiquitous endoribonuclease, found in archaea, bacteria and eukarya as well as chloroplasts and mitochondria. Its best characterised activity is the generation of mature 5'-ends of tRNAs by cleaving the 5'-leader elements of precursor-tRNAs. Lineage: Bacteria; Pseudomonadati; Myxococcota; Myxococcia. The record is from RNAcentral.
GAGAACGCAAACGCAGACGACCUCGCAAACGAGGCAAUAGACACCCGGGCCCGCUGAAAAAAAGUUGCGAGCGAAGCGCGGCAAUCUCGUAUAUUAUCCCAAGCCUGCCCCCGCCUGCCCCCACAUCUUGUAAACCGGGGACGAAAAAUGCUAUCAUAUGUAAGUACGCCGGAGCGCGACGGCAGCCGCCCAGCGCCACUUUUCAUUACGAAGGCAUGUUGGUUAUUGACUUGCUUCGUGCAGAAAAGUGGCGCUGGGCAAGGGUGAAACGGCGGGGUAAGAGCCCGCCAGAGCGCCGGGCAACCGGCGCUGCUCGGCAACCCCCUCUUGGUGCAAGGCCAAAUAGGCUCUGUUCAAGGACGGCCCGUCCUUUUUCCGGCAACGGAAAGGCAGAGCGGGUUGGCUGCUUAAAGACGGCGGCAACGCCGCUCUUAGAUGAAUGGCUGCCUACUACAGAAUCCGGCUUAUGACGGACUCCGGC